GAUGAAGAACGUAGCGAAAUGCGAUACUUGGUGUGAAUUGCAGAAUCCCGUGAACCAUCGAGUCUUUGAACGCAAGUUGCGCCUCAAGCCAUUAGGUUGAGGGCACGUCUGCCUGGGCGUCACAUAUCGUUGCCUGAUGCCAGUUUCCUCGUGAUGGGUGACUGGGCAGGGCGAAUGAUGGCUUCCCGUGAGCAUUGUUGCCUCAUGGUUGGUUGAAAAUUGAGUCCUUGGUAGGGAGCGCCGUGAUAGAUGGUGGUUGAGUGACGAACGAGACCCAAUCAUGUGAGACCCCUACCGAAUUUGGCCUUCAUGACCCACAUGCGUCUUUGGAACGCUCAUGACGAGACCUCAGGUCAGGCGGGGCUACCCGCUGAGUUUAAGCAUAUCAAUAAGCGGAGGA
Molecule: unclassified non-coding RNA, 400 nt
Filed under: soil metagenome
Description: partial contains 5.8S ribosomal RNA, internal transcribed spacer 2, and large subunit ribosomal RNA
Rfam family: 5.8S ribosomal RNA (bases 1-122)
Source: RNAcentral